RNAcentral lists this ribosomal RNA (367 nucleotides) under uncultured organism. RNAcentral's name for it is "bacterial SSU rRNA". It matches the Rfam family "Bacterial small subunit ribosomal RNA", at positions 526 to 896 of the family's 1533-position model. The record is from RNAcentral.
CGUAGGAUCCGAGCGUUGUCCGGAUUUACUGGGUGUAAAGGGUGCGCGGGCGGACUGGUAAGUCAGAGGUGAAAUCUCGUCGCUCAACGACGAAACUGCCUUUGAUACUAUCAGUCUUGAAUCCGGUAGAGAUCUGUGGAAUUCCGAGUGUAGCAGUGAAAUGUGUAGAUAUUCGGAAGAACACCAGUGGCGAAGGCAGCAGAUUGGGCCGGUAUUGACGCUCAGGCACGAAAGCAUGGGGAUCAAACAGGAUUAGAGACCCUGGUAGUCCAUGCCCUAAACGAUGUUCACUUGAUGUCCGCCCUCAGGGUAGGUGUCGAAGCUAACGCGAUAAGUGAACCACCUGGGGAGUACGCUCGCAAGGGUG